AUACGGAAGGUCCGGGCGUUAUCCGGAUUUAUUGGGUUUAAAGGGAGCGCAGGCGGAGAUGCAAGCGUGGCGUCAAAUUUCGGGGCUCAACCCCGUCUCGCGUCGCGAACUGCGUCCCUUGGUUGCGGGAAGGGGAGGCGGAACUCGUGGUGUAGCGGUGAAAUGCAUAGAUAUCACGAAGAACUCCGAUCGCGAAGGCAGCCUUCCGGCCCGUCAACGACGCUCAUGCUCGAAGGUGCGGGUAUCAAACAGGAUUAGAUACCCUGGUAGUCCGCACAGUAAACGAUGGACACCCGCGGUUUGGCCUGUAUGGCUGAGCCGCCAAGCGAAAGCGUUAAGUGUCCCACCUGGGGAGUACGCCGGCAACGGUGAAACUUAAAGGAAUUGACGGGG
RNAcentral lists this ribosomal RNA (393 nucleotides) under uncultured bacterium. RNAcentral's name for it is "partial 16S ribosomal RNA". It matches the Rfam family "Bacterial small subunit ribosomal RNA", at positions 523 to 918 of the family's 1533-position model. The record is from RNAcentral.